UGCGUACCUUUUGUAUAAUGGGUCAGCGACUUAUAUUCUGUAGCAAGGUUAACCGAAUAGGGGAGCCGGAGGGAAACCGAGUCUUAAUUGGGCGUUAAGUUGCAGGGUAUAGACCCGAAACCCGGUGAUCUAGCCAUGGGCAGGUUGAAGGUUGGGUAACACUAACUGGAGGACCGAACCGACUAAUGUUGAAAAAUUAGCGGAUGACCUGUGGCUGGGGGUGAAAGGCCAAUCAAACCGGGAGAUAGCUGGUUCUCCCCGAAAGCUAUUUAGGUAGCGCCUCGUGAAUUCAUCUCCGGGGGUAGAGCACUGUUUCGGCUAGGGGGCCAUCCCGGCUUACCAACCCGAUGCAAACUGCGAAUACCGGAGAAUGUUAUCACGGGAGACACACGGCGGGUGCUAACGUCCGUCGUGAAGAGGGAAACAACCCAGACCGCCAGCUAAGGUCCCAAAGUCAUGGUUAAGUGGGAAACGAUGUGGGAAGGCCCAGACAGCCAGGAUGUUGGCUUAGAAGCAGCCAUCAUUUAAAGAAAGCGUAAUAGCUCACUGGUCGAGUCGGCCUGCGCGGAAGAUGUAACGGGGCUAAACCAU
Molecule: ribosomal RNA, 591 nt
Filed under: Salmonella enterica
Lineage: Bacteria; Pseudomonadati; Pseudomonadota; Gammaproteobacteria; Enterobacterales; Enterobacteriaceae
Also listed under: 3 other names
Description: partial 23S ribosomal RNA
Rfam family: Bacterial large subunit ribosomal RNA
Source: RNAcentral